AAAGGUCGGAGCUUAACUCCGGUUCGGCAGUGGAAACUGGAGUGCUAGAGGGCGACAGGGGUAGAGGGAAUUCCCAGUGUACCGGUGAAAUGCGUAGAGAUUGGGAAGAACACCGGUGGCGAAAGCGCUCUACUGGGUCGCACCUGACCCUCAGGGACGAAAGCUAAGGUAGCGAAAGGGAUUAGAUACCCCUGUAGUCUUAGCCGUUAAACGAUGGAUACUAGGCGUGGCUUGUAUCGACCCAAGCCGUGCCGAAGCUAACGCGUUAAGUAUCCCGCCUGGGGAGUACGCACGCAAGUGUGAAACUCAAAGGAAUUGACGGGGGCCCGCACAAGCGGUGGAGGAUGUGGUUUAAUUCGAUGCAACGCGAAGAACCUUACCAGGGCUUGACAUCCCGCGAAUCUUGCUGAAAGGUGAGAGUGCCUUCGGGAGCGCGGAGACAGGUGGUGCAUGGCUGUCGUCAGCUCGUGUCGUGAGAUGUUGGGUUAAGUCCCGCAACGAGCGCAACCCUCGUCCUUAGUUGCCAGCAUUAAGUUGGGCACUCUAGGGAGACUGCCGGUGACAAACCGGAGGAAGGUGAGGAUGACGUCAAGUCAGCAUGCCCCUUAUGCUCUGGGCGACACACGUCCUACAAUGGUCGGGACAAAGGGGAGCAAGCUCGCGAGAGUAAGCGAAUCCCAGCAAACUCGGCCUCAGUUCAGAUUGCAGGCUGCAACUCGCCUGCAUGAAGGAGGAAUCGCUAGUAAUCGCAGGUCAGCAUACUGCGGUGAAUUCGUUCCCGGGCCUUGUACACACCGCCCGUCACACCAUGGAAGCUGGCCAAGCCACGAAGUCGUUACCCUAACCGUUUGGAGGGGGCGCCGAAGGCUGGGCUAGUGACUGGGGUGAA
This 889-nucleotide ribosomal RNA is filed under the name uncultured organism. RNAcentral's name for it is "bacterial SSU rRNA". It matches the Rfam family "Bacterial small subunit ribosomal RNA", at positions 597 to 1484 of the family's 1533-position model. The record is from RNAcentral.